GACGUAGGGGGCCAGCGUUGUUCGGAAUUACUGGGUGUAAAGGGUUCGUAGGCGGUGUGGCAAGUCGGGAGUGAAAUUUCUGGGCUCAACUCAGAGACUGCUUCCGAAACUGCUGUGCUUGAGUGCGGGAGAGGCGCGUGGAAUUGCAGGUGUAGCGGUGAAAUGCGUAGAUAUCUGCAGGAACACCCGUGGCGAAAGCGGCGCGCUGGACCACUACUGACGCUGAGGAACGAAAGCUAGGGGAGCAAACAGG
Molecule: ribosomal RNA, 253 nt
Filed under: uncultured bacterium
Lineage: Bacteria
Description: partial 16S ribosomal RNA
Rfam family: Bacterial small subunit ribosomal RNA
Source: RNAcentral